RNAcentral lists this ribosomal RNA (403 nucleotides) under uncultured bacterium. Its description in RNAcentral is "bacterial SSU rRNA". It matches the Rfam family "Bacterial small subunit ribosomal RNA", at positions 355 to 774 of the family's 1533-position model. The record is from RNAcentral.
UAGGGAAUAUUGCAAAAUGGGCGAAAGCCCGAUGCAGCAACGCCGCGUGGGCGAUGAAGGCCUUCGGGUCGUAAAGCCCUUUUUGAGGGGAUGAGGAAGGACAGUACCCUCAGAAUAAGCCUCGGCUAACUACGUGCCAGCAGCCGCGGUAAAACGUAGGAGGCGAGCGUUAUCCGGAUUUACUGGGCGUAAAGCGCGUGCAGGCGGAUUGGAGAGUUGGAUGUGAAAGCUCCCGGCUUAACUGGGAGAGGUCGUUCAAUACUUCCAGUCUUGAGUGCAGUAGAGGGAAGUGGAAUUCCGGGUGUAGUGGUGAAAUGCUUAGAUAUCUGGAGGAACACCAGUGGCGAAAGCGGCUUCCUGGACUGUAACUGACGCUCAGACGCGAAAGCUAGGGUAGCAAACG